UACGUAGGGCGCAAGCGUUGUCCGGAAUUAUUGGGCGUAAAGAGCUCGUAGGCGGUUUGUCGCGUCUGCUGUGAAAACCUAAGGCUCAACCUUGGGCUUGCAGUGGGUACGGGCAGACUAGAGUGCGGUAGGGGUGACUGGAAUUCCUGGUGUAGCGGUGGAAUGCGUAGAGAUCCGGAGGAACACCAAAGGCGAAGGCAGUGUCCUGGGGAGUACCUGACGCUCAGGUGCGAAAGCCAGGGGAGCGAACGGG
RNAcentral lists this ribosomal RNA (253 nucleotides) under uncultured bacterium. RNAcentral's name for it is "partial 16S ribosomal RNA". It matches the Rfam family "Bacterial small subunit ribosomal RNA", at positions 524 to 776 of the family's 1533-position model. The record is from RNAcentral.